UAAUUAGCUUUUCUAAAAGCUACAGCAAGUUUCUAGAAAUCUAUCU
Non-coding RNA from Papilio machaon (common yellow swallowtail), 46 nucleotides. Lineage: Eukaryota; Metazoa; Arthropoda; Insecta; Lepidoptera; Papilionidae. The record is from Rfam.